Non-coding RNA from Cervus hanglu yarkandensis (Yarkand deer), 218 nucleotides. The record is from Ensembl. Lineage: Eukaryota; Metazoa; Chordata; Mammalia; Artiodactyla; Cervidae.
UUUUGUCUGUUGUGGGUGUACAUGGAUUUAUUUGAAUCCCUGUUUUCAGUGAACUUGAGUGUAUACCUGGGAGUGGCAUUGCUGAAUGAUAUGCUAAUUCUAUGUUUAAGACUGAUGCAUUUAUUGUCUAUCAACCAAUAGGAAGAGAAACUUUGGCAGUCAGAUAUUGUUUAACAGAUGAAGUGGUUUCUGUUGGACACUUAAGUACUGCUACAAAU